RNAcentral lists this ribosomal RNA (110 nucleotides) under Pteropus alecto (black flying fox). Lineage: Eukaryota; Metazoa; Chordata; Mammalia; Chiroptera; Pteropodidae. The record is from RNAcentral.
GUCUACGGCCAUGCCACCCUGAACAAGCCCAAUGUCUGAUCUCGGAAGCUAAGCAGGCCUGGUUAGUACUUGGAUAGGAGACCGUCUAGGAAGAUUAGGUGCUAUAGGCA